This 435-nucleotide ribosomal RNA is filed under the name uncultured bacterium. RNAcentral describes it as "partial 16S ribosomal RNA". It matches the Rfam family "Bacterial small subunit ribosomal RNA", at positions 29 to 507 of the family's 1533-position model. The record is from RNAcentral.
AACGAACGCUGGCGGCAUGCCUAACACAUGCAAGUCGAACGAGAUCCUUCGGGGUCUAGUGCGCACGGGUGCGUAACGCGUGGGAAUCUGCCCUUAGGUUCGGAAUAACAGUUAGAAAUGACUGCUAAUACCGGAUGAUGACGUUAAGUCCAAAGAUUUAUCGCCUGAGGAUGAGCCCGCGUAGGAUUAGCUAGUUGGUGUGGUAAAGGCGCACCAAGGCGACGAUCCUUAGCUGGUCUGAGAGGAUGAUCAGCCACACUGGGACUGAGACACGGCCCAGACUCCUACGGGAGGCAGCAGUGGGGAAUAUUGGACAAUGGGCGCAAGCCUGAUCCAGCAAUGCCGCGUGAGUGAUGAAGGCCUUAGGGUUGUAAAGCUCUUUUACCCGAGAUGAUAAUGACAGUAUCGGGAGAAUAAGCCCCGGCUAACUCCGUG